GUAGGGAAUUUUGCGCAAUGGGCGAAAGCCUGACGCAGCAACGCCGCGUGAUUGAUGAAGCCCUUCGGGGUGUAAAGAUCUGUCAGCAGGGAAGAAAAAUGACUGUACCUGCAGAGGAAGCACCGGCUAACUCCGUGCCAGCAGCCGCGGUAAUACGGGGGGUGCAAGCGUUGUCCGGAAUCAUUGGGCGUAAAGAGUUCGUAGGUGGCACGUAAAGUCCGGUGUUAAAGGCGGAAGCUCAACUUCCGUAGGGCACUGGAUACUGGCGAGCUAGAAUGCGGUAGAGGUAAAGGGAAUUCCUGGUGUAGCGGUGAAAUGCGUAGAUAUCAGGAGGAACAUCGGUGGCGUAAGCGCUUUACUGGGCCGUAAUUGACACUGAGGAACGAAAGCCGGGGUAGCAAAUGGG
This 406-nucleotide ribosomal RNA is filed under the name uncultured bacterium. RNAcentral describes it as "bacterial SSU rRNA". It matches the Rfam family "Bacterial small subunit ribosomal RNA", at positions 354 to 776 of the family's 1533-position model. The record is from RNAcentral.